AUGAUUGGAUUGUUUCUGAGAUGUGCUGGAGAGCCGCUUUGGCUAAUUGCUUGCAGACUGCGAUCCAACCAGGCUUGCCAACCGUGGAGGCAGUAUGGAGGGGCUAAGAGGGAAAGGAAAGUGUCUUAUCAGCUCAUCUUUGCAUCGUUCAUCUUACAGAGGCCCAGUGAAGAAGAAGCAUUCAUUAAAUAUUUUUGGAAGGAAGGAAAGAAAGAAGAAAGGGAAGAAUGAGUUACUUAGAAGAGUGAUUAAAUGAUUAAAAGCAUUUACUCUGGAGUAAAAUUGGAUUUCAAAUCUGAACACUGCAACUCACCAGCUGGCUGAUUUGGGGGCAGAUUAUUCAACUUUCAUGUAUAGAAAAAAGAUAACAAUAUCUACCUCAAAGAGCUGUGAUAAGGGUUACGAGAUUAAUUCUGCAGAGAGUUCAGCAUAGUUUUCAACAUGUGGGAAGCACUCGGUGCCUGUUAUUCUCAUUAUUAUUAUACAGUUUACUGGAACUCCUCUUAAAUCUGAUAGACGCUUUGCAAAUGAUUGGGUAACAGUUGCGUUGGUCCUUGCUGAAAACAGGCAUGGGAAUCCUAUGAUCACUAGAAACAAGUUGUAAAUAAUCAGUGCUGUCCUGGAACUGCACACCAGAGAAGAUGGGCUGCCACUGUCACCAACAAGCCUGACCCUGUUGGCAGUGUGGAAUUUUAACCAGUUCAGACAGUGCUUAUCUGAACAGCGCUUAUGCAGUGUUCUGAACAUUUGAACAGUGCUUAUCUGUAAGUUCAAGGCACAGGGCUGAGGGUUCUGAAGCUUUCAGAUAUAAAUUGCACUCUGCCCUCCAGGAGCUGGUAACUCAUAAAUCACUCUAAGAAAAAGCAGACUGUGAUCAAGCGUUCCAGUCCACGGCAGACCACAGUAUGGACCCAAAGGGUGAGGAGAGGUGACCUGCUAAUUGGGGGAAAAUGGGUUCUGGGUUCAAAUUGCUGUCUCACUGUUUUCUGGCUGGGAAAAACUUUACUCAUAUGCAAAGUGAGAGCGCUUGGAGUAACCAACCACUUUAUGGAAUGGUGGGAACAUUAGAAGAGAUCAUGCUUGCAGCUGGACAUAACAUCUGGUCAGUGCUCAAUAAAUGGUAG
Molecule: long non-coding RNA, 1124 nt
Filed under: Bos indicus x Bos taurus (hybrid cattle)
Lineage: Eukaryota; Metazoa; Chordata; Mammalia; Artiodactyla; Bovidae
Description: lncRNA (ENSBIXG00000013585.1)
Source: RNAcentral